GACGAACGCUGGCGGCGUGCCUAAUACAUGCAAGUCGAACGCUUCUUUCCUCCCGAGUGCUUGCACUCAAUUGGAAAGAGGAGUGGCGGACGGGUGAGUAACACGUGGGUAACCUACCCAUCAGAGGGGGAUAACACUUGGAAAUAGGUGCUAAUACCGCAUAACAGUUUAUGCCGCAUGGCAUAAGAGUGAAAGGCGCUUUCGGGUGUCGCUGAUGGAUGGACCCGCGGUGCAUUAGCUAGUUGGUGAGGUAACGGCUCACCAAGGCCACGAUGCAUAGCCGACCUGAGAGGGUAUCGGCCACACUGGGACUGAGACACGGCCCAGACUCCUACGGGAGGCAGCAGUAGGGAAUCUUCGGCAAUGGACGAAAGUCUGACCGAGCAACGCCGCGUGAGUGAAGAAGGUUUUCGGAUCGUAAAACUCUGUUGUUAGAGAAGAACAAGGACGUUAGUAACUGAACGUCCCCUGACGGUAUCUAACCAGAAAGCCACGGCUAACUACGUG
Molecule: ribosomal RNA, 507 nt
Filed under: uncultured bacterium
Lineage: Bacteria
Description: partial 16S ribosomal RNA
Rfam family: Bacterial small subunit ribosomal RNA
Source: RNAcentral